CUCUGUUGGUUCUUGUCACUAAUGGGUUAAAACUAUUAUAUUAUUAAUUGAAUUAGCAUAAAACCCUAAAUUAUUCCCAAUUCACGAUUCCACUUAAACAACACAACCCCAUCUCAUCUGCCAAGCGCAACAUUGGUAAUUCAUUCUCCAUCUCUAGUCUUAAUCGUUGCUCAACUCGCUGGGAAAGACUUGGUGUUUGGCUUGCUCUUUUCCCAACCGUUUAUUUAUCAACAGGAACUGCAACAAUGUUAAUUCUGAUAAAAGGAGAUACAUUCAAACUAUUCUUCCAAAUAGUUUAUGGACUUCUCUGCUCCUCAAAUCCUCUAACAACAGUUGAAUGGUAUCUAGUGUUCACUUUUCUAUGCAUUGUCCUAUCACAACUCCCAAACCUCAACUCAAUUGUAGGGCUUUCACUACUAGGGGCUAUAACAACCAUUACUUACUCCACCAUGGUGUGGUUACUCUCUGUUAGCCAACAAAGGUCGCCAUCAAUCUCUUAUGAGCCUUUUUCAUUGUCAUCUUCUGCAGCUUCUCUCUUUUCUAUCUUUAAUGCACUUGGAAUUAUAGUGUGUUUGCAUUUAAAGGCCACAAUUUAGCUAUGGAAAUACAAGUAUAUGUUUAAAAUA
This is a long non-coding RNA of Mangifera indica (mango), 626 nucleotides long. RefSeq lists it as uncharacterized. The record is from RefSeq and is a predicted model, not a curated record. NCBI's taxonomy places the organism in Eukaryota, Viridiplantae, Streptophyta, Magnoliopsida, Sapindales, Anacardiaceae. The transcript has 2 exons.